This 450-nucleotide ribosomal RNA is filed under the name Triticum aestivum (bread wheat). Its description in RNAcentral is "partial small subunit ribosomal RNA". Lineage: Eukaryota; Viridiplantae; Streptophyta; Magnoliopsida; Poales; Poaceae. The record is from RNAcentral.
AUGUCGAGCUCCGCUUUAGCCUCCCGCCGCUCAUGGCCGCGCUAUGGCGCAGUGCCCAUGACAAGGUGCCCUGCAUGCCCACGUAUCGCACCCCUGAAGCGGCUAGUCACUACGACCGACAAGAAUGGCAACCUUGGGUGGGAAUUCGUGAAAUGCGAGAGCAAACCAGAGCAGGGAAAGAAAUUGAAGCAACGCACCCAUUUUGAGUGGCUAGAUGAGUACAUAGAGCGGAUUCAACUGGAGGGUGCAUCAGGAGAGCUCGAUUUACCGUUGGAGGCGGAGAAGUUGGGCAAGUUUGGAUCGGGCGCGUCUGGAUCUGGGGCCCCUGGAGGCUGGAUCUGCCCAUUCCAUUGGGGCUACUGUGGGGGAUGCAAGAGUGACGGCAGAGCUGAAGAAGCUGAACAAGCAGAUGAAGAAACUCAUCGAAUUGCAGAAGCAGGGGCAAUUUGA